Potamilus streckersoni is the source of this 73-nucleotide non-coding RNA. The record is from the annotation of a GenBank genome assembly. Lineage: Eukaryota; Metazoa; Mollusca; Bivalvia; Unionida; Unionidae.
GCUCCGGUGGCCCAGUGGUUAGAUCGUCCGCCUCUGAUGCGUGAGGUUGUGGGUUCAAUCCCCGGCCGAAUCA